Molecule: ribosomal RNA, 408 nt
Filed under: uncultured bacterium
Lineage: Bacteria
Description: bacterial SSU rRNA
Rfam family: Bacterial small subunit ribosomal RNA
Source: RNAcentral
GGGGAAUAUUGCACAAUGGGCGCAAGCCUGAUGCAGCGACGCCGCGUGAGGGAUGACGGCCUUCGGGUUGUAAACCUCUUUCGCCAGGGACGAAGGGUGAUACUGACGGUACCUGGAGAAGAAGCACCGGCUAACUACGUGCCAGCAGCCGCGGUAAUACGUAGGGUGCGAGCGUUGUCCGGAAUUAUUGGGCGUAAAGAGCUCGUAGGCGGUGUGUCGCGUCUGCCGUGAAAACCUACAGCUUAACUGUGGGCGUGCGGUGGAUACGGGCAUCACUUGAGUUCGGCAGGGGAGACUGGAAUUCCUGGUGUAGCGGUGGAAUGCGCAGAUAUCAGGAGGAACACCGGUGGCGAAGGCGGGUCUCUGGGCCGAUACUGACGCUGAGGAGCGAAAGCGUGGGGAGCGAAC